Molecule: ribosomal RNA, 481 nt
Filed under: uncultured bacterium
Lineage: Bacteria
Description: partial 16S ribosomal RNA
Rfam family: Bacterial small subunit ribosomal RNA
Source: RNAcentral
AUUGAACGCUGGCGGCAUGCUUUACACAUGCAAGUCGAACGGUAACAGCACUUCGGUGGCUGACGAGUGGCGAACGGGUGAGUAAUACAUCGGAACGUGCCUAGUAGUGGGGGGUAACUACUCGAAAGAGUAGCUAAUACCGCAUGAGAUCUAAGGAUGAAAGCAGGGGACCUUCGGGCCUUGCGCUACUAGAGCGGCUGAUGGCAGAUUAGGUAGUUGGUGGGAUAAAAGCUUACCAAGCCGACGAUCUGUAGCUGGUCUGAGAGGACCACUAGCCACAUUGUGUGUGAGAAAGGUCCGAGACUCCUAGGGGGGGACGCAGUGGGGAAUUUUGGACAAGGGGGGCAAGCCUGAUCCUGCAAUGCCGCGUGAAGGAUGAAGGCCUUCGGGUGGUAAACUGCUUUUGUACGGAACGAAAAGACCUCUUCUAAUACAGGAGGGUCAUGACGGUACCGUAAGAAGAAGCACCGGCUAACUACGU